This 544-nucleotide ribosomal RNA is filed under the name uncultured archaeon. RNAcentral describes it as "bacterial SSU rRNA". It matches the Rfam family "Archaeal small subunit ribosomal RNA", at positions 25 to 577 of the family's 1478-position model. The record is from RNAcentral.
CACUGCUAUCGGGGUUCGAUUAAGCCAUGCGAGUCGAGAGGGUUCAGACCCUCGGCGCACUGCUCAGUAACACGUGGAUAACCUACCCUGAGGAGGGGGAUAACCCCGGGAAACUGGGGAUAAUACCUCAUAGGUUUCAGAUGCUGGAAUGCUCUGAAACCGAAAUGCUCCGGCGCCUCAGGAUGGAUCUGCGGCCGAUUAGGUUGUUGUUGGGGUAACGGCCCAACAAGCCCGUCAUCGGUACGGGUUGUGAGAGCAAGAGCCCGGAGAUGGAUUCUGAGACACCAAUCCAGGCCCUACGGGGCGCAGCAGGCGCGAAACCUUUACAAUGCGAGCAAUCGUGAUAAGGGAACCCCGAGUGCCUGAAACCAGGCUGUUCAGGUGUUUAAAAAGCACCUGGAGAAAGGGCCGGGCAAGACCGGUGCCAGCCGCCGCGGUAAUACCGGCGGCUCGAGUGGUGGCCGCUAUUAUUGGGCUUAAAGCGUUCGUAGCUGGGUUGUUAAGUCUCUUGGGAAAUCUCACGGCUCAACCGUGAGGCGACUAA